RNAcentral lists this ribosomal RNA (1031 nucleotides) under Campiglossa guttella. RNAcentral describes it as "partial 16S ribosomal RNA". Lineage: Eukaryota; Metazoa; Arthropoda; Insecta; Diptera; Tephritidae. The record is from RNAcentral.
UUGAAAAAUUUUUAUUAAAUAAGAAAAAUUAAUUAUUUGUACCUUGGGUAUCAGGGUUUAUUAAAUAAUUAAUAAUUAUUUAUUAAUCUCGAUUUUAUAAGAGUUAAUAAUUUAUGAAAGUUAAUGUAUUAAAAUUAUUUUAAAUAAAUUAUUAGAAAUGAAAUGUUAUUCGUUUAUAAAGGUAUCUAGUUUUUUUAGAAAUAAAUUUAAUUUAUUAAUUUUUAAUUUAUUUAUUAAUUUAUCAAUAAAUAAAUUUAUUAAUUAAAAUAUUUUUAGGGAUAAGCUUUAAAAUAAAAUAUUAUAAAUUUAAUUAAUUUUUUUUAAAAAUAUAUGCAUAGAAUUAGUAAUUAUUAAAAAUUUUGUUAUAAAUUAUUUUAUAAAUCAUAUUAUUUAUUUAUAUUUUAAUUUUUUUUUAUAAAAAUUUUAUUUUUAAUUUUAUUUAAUAAUUAAUAAUGAUAAAAUUAGUAUAUAAUUAUGUUUAAAUAAUUGUAAAUGAUAAGUUUAUAUAAAGAACUCGGCAAAUAUAUUACUCGCCUGUUUAACAAAAACAUGUCUUUUUGAGUUAUUUUUAAAGUCUAACCUGCCCAAUGAAUAUAUUUUAAUGGCCGCAGUAUUCUGACUGUGCAAAGGUAGCAUAAUCAUUAGUCUUUUAAUUGAAGGCUUGUAUGAAUGGUUGGACGAAGUAUAAUCUGUUUCAUAUAAAUUUAUUUUAGAAUUUUAUUUUUUAGUUAAAAAGCUAAAAUUAAUUUAAAAGACGAGAAGACCCUAUAAAUCUUUAUAAUUUAUUUUAUUUUUAUUUUUUAGAUUUAAUUUUAUUUAAAUAAAAUUGAUUAUUUUGUUGGGGUGAUAUUAAAAUUUAAAUAACUUUUAAUUUUUUUUUUAAAAAUCAUUAAUUUAUGAUUAGUUGAUCCAUUAUUAAUGAUUAAAAGAAUAAGUUACUUUAGGGAUAACAGCGUAAUUUUUUUGGAGAGUUCUUAUUGAUAAAAAAGUUUGCGACCUCGAUGUUGGAUUAAGAUAUAAUUUUAGGUGUA